Molecule: ribosomal RNA, 1404 nt
Filed under: Streptococcus agalactiae
Lineage: Bacteria; Bacillati; Bacillota; Bacilli; Lactobacillales; Streptococcaceae
Description: bacterial SSU rRNA
Rfam family: Bacterial small subunit ribosomal RNA
Source: RNAcentral
UAGAACGCUGAGGUUUGGUGUUUACACUAGACUGAUGAGUUGCGAACGGGUGAGUAACGCGUAGGUAACCUGCCUCAUAGCGGGGGAUAACUAUUGGAAACGAUAGCUAAUACCGCAUAAGAGUAAUUAACACAUGUUAGUUAUUUAAAAGGAGCAAUUGCUUCACUGUGAGAUGGACCUGCGUUGUAUUAGCUAGUUGGUGAGGUAAAGGCUCACCAAGGCGACGAUACAUAGCCGACCUGAGAGGGUGAUCGGCCACACUGGGACUGAGACACGGCCCAGACUCCUACGGGAGGCAGCAGUAGGGAAUCUUCGGCAAUGGACGGAAGUCUGACCGAGCAACGCCGCGUGAGUGAAGAAGGUUUUCGGAUCGUAAAGCUCUGUUGUUAGAGAAGAACGUUGGUAGGAGUGGAAAAUCUACCAAGUGACGGUAACUAACCAGAAAGGGACGGCUAACUACGUGCCAGCAGCCGCGGUAAUACGUAGGUCCCGAGCGUUGUCCGGAUUUAUUGGGCGUAAAGCGAGCGCAGGCGGUUCUUUAAGUCUGAAGUUAAAGGCAGUGGCUUAACCAUUGUACGCUUUGGAAACUGGAGGACUUGAGUGCAGAAGGGGAGAGUGGAAUUCCAUGUGUAGCGGUGAAAUGCGUAGAUAUAUGGAGGAACACCGGUGGCGAAAGCGGCUCUCUGGUCUGUAACUGACGCUGAGGCUCGAAAGCGUGGGGAGCAAACAGGAUUAGAUACCCUGGUAGUCCACGCCGUAAACGAUGAGUGCUAGGUGUUAGGCCCUUUCCGGGGCUUAGUGCCGCAGCUAACGCAUUAAGCACUCCGCCUGGGGAGUACGACCGCAAGGUUGAAACUCAAAGGAAUUGACGGGGGCCCGCACAAGCGGUGGAGCAUGUGGUUUAAUUCGAAGCAACGCGAAGAACCUUACCAGGUCUUGACAUCCUUCUGACCGGCCUAGAGAUAGGCUUUCUCUUCGGAGCAGAAGUGACAGGUGGUGCAUGGUUGUCGUCAGCUCGUGUCGUGAGAUGUUGGGGUUAAGUCCCGCAACGAGCGCAACCCCUAUUGUUAGUUGCCAUCAUUAAGUUGGGCACUCUAGCGAGACUGCCGGUAAUAAACCGGAGGAAGGUGGGGAUGACGUCAAAUCAUCAUGCCCCUUAUGACCUGGGCUACACACGUGCUACAAUGGUUGGUACAACGAGUCGCAAGCCGGUGACGGCAAGCUAAUCUCUUAAAGCCAAUCUCAGUUCGGAUUGUAGGCUGCAACUCGCCUACAUGAAGUCGGAAUCGCUAGUAAUCGCGGAUCAGCACGCCGCGGUGAAUACGUUCCCGGGCCUUGUACACACCGCCCGUCACACCACGAGAGUUUGUAACACCCGAAGUCGGUGAGGUAACCUUUAGGAGC